Molecule: non-coding RNA, 82 nt
Organism: Echinostoma caproni
Lineage: Eukaryota; Metazoa; Platyhelminthes; Trematoda; Plagiorchiida; Echinostomatidae
Source: Rfam
GGCCUCGUAGCUCAACUGGUAGAGCAUGCGCGUACAGAGCGUAGGCCGCGUCCAUGCGUGGGUUCGAAUCCCACCGAGGUUA